GCAUGCCUCCUUAGUCGCUUCAGUCGUGUCUGACUCUUUGUGACCCUAUAGACUGUAGCCUGCCAGGCUCCUCUGUCCAUGGGAUUCUCCAGGCAAGAAUACUGGAGUGGGGUGCCGUUUCCUUCUCCAGGGUAUCUUCCUGACCCAGGGAUCGAACCCACAUCUCUUACAUCUCCUGCAUUAGGAGACCAAUCGACCAAUCCCAGUGCUGCUGACAAGAGCGCGGAUCUCAAUCCUUCUGGUCUGUGCGGACGUUGCCUUCCAAUCAAAGAAAACUUCCUGGACCCACAAGAUGUUCCACUACACCCUGCUUUCUCUAGCUCUGUGAACUGACUGACUGACUGAUUAAUAGAUGUCUGAAUUCAGCCUCCCCAACACUGAUUGCCAGGGGAGGGGCCCAGCAAGGCAUGUGGGAUCUUAGUUCCCCAGGGAUCGAACCCAUGCCCCCAGCAGUGGAAGCAGAGUGUUAACUACUGGACCUCUGGGGCAGUCCCCCUGCUGACAUCUAGAAUCAGAUUCUGGUCUCCUGCACUGUGAGAGAAUACAUUUCUGUUGCUUUGAGCCAUGGAGCUCACAGUCAUGUUAUCACCACCACAGGAAACCCCGACCUAAUCUGAAAGGGGUGAGCAAACGCAAGAACACACACAGUGGCCUGGCAGCUGAUGCUGUAACACCUCCCUCGGUCGCCAGCUUCACGUCCUCAGGCAAGCGGCUCAGCCUCUGAGCCCCAGUCUUUCCAUGUCACAGACUAGGCUCCAGUGCCCUGGGAUCCAUUACCCGUAUCCCCAUGAGGACCUGGUGCAUGGUGAAGCUGCUCAGAACAUAUUAGCCGUGUCUCUCCCUUAGCUGUCCCCACUCAGCACAGUGGCCACUGUCCCUCCUUCUCUGCUGCAGAAUGAAGAAGGGAAGGAGCCCAGGUUUGGGGUGGGAGAGAGCUGAGCCACUUACUGGCUCUAUGGUCUUGGACCAGAUAUACAUUCCCCAACCCCAGACCUCAGGACUUCACCAAGAAAAUGAAGAUAAGAAAAAUCUCCCUCAUACAGUCUGCAGUGACCUGAAAAUUUGCAUCCCCCAAAAUCCAUGUUGGAGCCCUAAAC
Molecule: long non-coding RNA, 1097 nt
Organism: Bos taurus (domestic cattle)
Lineage: Eukaryota; Metazoa; Chordata; Mammalia; Artiodactyla; Bovidae
Source: Ensembl